RNAcentral lists this ribosomal RNA (497 nucleotides) under uncultured bacterium. RNAcentral describes it as "partial 16S ribosomal RNA". It matches the Rfam family "Bacterial small subunit ribosomal RNA", at positions 28 to 507 of the family's 1533-position model. The record is from RNAcentral.
GAUGAACGCUGGCGGCGUGCCUAAUACAUGCAAGUCGAGCGAACAGACGAGGAGCUUGCUCCUCUGACGUUAGCGGCGGACGGGUGAGUAACACGUGGAUAACCUACCUAUAAGACUGGGAUAACUUCGGGAAACCGGAGCUAAUACCGGAUAAUAUAUUGAACCGCAUGGUUCAAUAGUGAAAGACGGUUUUGCUGUCACUUAUAGAUGGAUCCGCGCCGCAUUAGCUAGUUGGUAAGGUAACGGCUUACCAAGGCGACGAUGCGUAGCUGACCUGAGAGGGUGAUCGGCCACACUGGAACUGAGACACGGUCCAGACUCCUACGGGAGGCAGCAGUAGGGAAUCUUCCGCAAAGGGCGAAAGCCUGACGGAGCAACGCCGCGUGAGUGAUGAAGGUCUUCGGAUCGUAAAACUCUGUUAUUAGGAAAGAACAAAUGUGUAAGUAACUAUGCACGUCUUGACGGUACCUAAUCAGAAAGCCACGGCUAACUACGUG